Acanthosepion pharaonis is the source of this 106-nucleotide non-coding RNA. Lineage: Eukaryota; Metazoa; Mollusca; Cephalopoda; Sepiida; Sepiidae. The record is from the annotation of a GenBank genome assembly.
UUACGACCAUAUCACGUUGAAGCACAUGUUAUCGUACGAUCUCCGAAGUUAAGCAGCUUUUAGCCUGUCCAGUACCUAGAUGAGUUAUCGCUUAGGAAAACCAACU